RNAcentral lists this ribosomal RNA (487 nucleotides) under Megascolecidae sp. SC201737-02. RNAcentral describes it as "partial large subunit ribosomal RNA". It matches the Rfam family "Bacterial large subunit ribosomal RNA", at positions 1827 to 2601 of the family's 2925-position model. The record is from RNAcentral. Lineage: Eukaryota; Metazoa; Annelida; Clitellata; Crassiclitellata; Megascolecidae.
CAUUGUCUCAUGAACACUAUAUGAGAUAGUACCUGCCCAGUGACACAGCGUUCAACGGCCGCGGUAUCCUAACCGUGCAAAGGUAGCAUAAUCACUUGCCUAUUAAUUGUAGGCUAGAAUGAAGGGGUUAACGAAAUAAAGACUGUCUCAAUUAAUCAACUAAAAAUUAUUUUCUAUCUGAAGAAAGGUAGAUAAACUCGAAGGACAAGAAGACCCUAUAGAGCUUAAUUUUAAAUAUGGGCCACUCCAUAUAAAUAUUCGGUUGGGGCGACCCAGGGCUAAAUAAUCACCCACAUUAUAAAAGAUAUAUUAAUCAAGUAAGUGACCCUCAAUGAUCACAAAACCAAGCUACCUUAGGGAUAACAGGCUAAUCCCACUUAAGAGUCCUUAUCAACAGUGGGGAUUGGCACCUCGAUGUUGGCUUAGGGUAUCUAUAUAGCGCAAAAGCUAUAUAAAGAUGGUUUGUUCAACCAAUAACACCCUACGU